ACACUCUCGCCGAAAGUCCAAGGGUUCCUGCUUAAAGCUAAUCUGAGCAGGGUAAGCCGACCCCUAAGGCGAGGCCGAAAGGCGUAGUCGAUGGGAACCAGGUUAAUAUUCCUGGGCCAGAUGGAAGUGACGGAUCUCGAGGGUAGUUCAUCCUUAUCGGAUUGAAUGGGCUGCUUAGAGGUUCCUGGAAAUAGCUCCAUCGCUAGAUCGUACCCUAAACCGACACAGGUGGACUGGUAGAGAAUACCAAGGCGCUUGAGAGAACUAUGUUGAAGGAACUCGGCAAAUUACCUCCGUAACUUCGGGA
RNAcentral lists this ribosomal RNA (307 nucleotides) under Prasinoderma singulare. RNAcentral describes it as "partial Bacterial large subunit ribosomal RNA". It matches the Rfam family "Bacterial large subunit ribosomal RNA", at positions 1328 to 1741 of the family's 2925-position model. The record is from RNAcentral. Lineage: Eukaryota; Viridiplantae; Prasinodermophyta; Prasinodermophyceae; Prasinodermales; Prasinodermaceae.